GUGCCCCAAGAGGGGCAGCACAUACCCUAAAAUAGAAAGAGUACACAGAGAAGACUAGCACGGCCCUGCCCAAGGAUGACAUGCAAAUGUAAAGCCACUUGUAUUUUU
This is a small nuclear RNA of Onychomys torridus (southern grasshopper mouse), 108 nucleotides long. NCBI's taxonomy places the organism in Eukaryota, Metazoa, Chordata, Mammalia, Rodentia, Cricetidae. The record is from RefSeq and is a predicted model, not a curated record.